GCCAUUUUUCUUUUUUUUCUUGGUCGGCGUGUGCGCCACGUGUGUGUCGUGAGCUCUAAGCACGUGAGUGUGUGUUGUCAUCUGCUGCUGCGCGAUAAGGAACAUUUUGUCAAGAGCGUACAAGACGAAAAGCGGGAUGUAUCUAUAUACCGUCCGUGCAUUGGCUGACGCGGAGGUAUGCUACCGACUCGGCUGCGUGGACGCGGGCACGAAGAAAGGAGCGCCGACUGACCAACGAUACUUUGACUGCGCAUGUGUGCCACUCAAGUGCAACAGUUCACGAGGUAUCCCAGGCCCCGAAAGAAGUUGGAAGAAGAUGCAAGCGCAGCAUGCCAAUGUUGUUGAAUAUGCCAGCACGAAGUUUCCAGGCGCAAGUGUUUCUUAUAUAAAAGAAAGCCUAUUCUCUCCCCUCACAAGGGAAAUAAAAUCACUAUAUAAAAAUGCCUUUUCAUGUGCCUUUUUUGUUUUCCUGUUGGCUGCAGUUAAUAUUCAGCCUCAGUGAGCCAAAUCUUGCUACUUUAGACCUUAGUGAGAUAUAUCCCAGUACAAUGAAAAUACAAUGAAAAUUCAUCUCGAUCUAAAUCCAAUGAAUAUACAAUAACGAACCAAUGG
Molecule: long non-coding RNA, 612 nt
Organism: Dermacentor silvarum
Lineage: Eukaryota; Metazoa; Arthropoda; Arachnida; Ixodida; Ixodidae
Exons: 3
Source: RefSeq, a predicted model, not a curated record